This 102-nucleotide microRNA precursor is filed under the name Manihot esculenta (cassava). Its description in RNAcentral is "precursor microRNA miR167b". It matches the Rfam family "MIR167 microRNA precursor family". Lineage: Eukaryota; Viridiplantae; Streptophyta; Magnoliopsida; Malpighiales; Euphorbiaceae. The record is from RNAcentral.
AAAGGUGAAGCUGCCAGCAUGAUCUAGCUUUGGUUAGAGGGAAAGAGAAGGGUUGAUUUUACUAACCCUAACUAGGUCAUGCUCUGACAGCCUCACUCUUUC